This 465-nucleotide ribosomal RNA is filed under the name uncultured bacterium. Its description in RNAcentral is "partial 16S ribosomal RNA". It matches the Rfam family "Bacterial small subunit ribosomal RNA", at positions 28 to 507 of the family's 1533-position model. The record is from RNAcentral.
GAUGAACGCUGGCGGCGUGCUUAACACAUGCAAGUCGAACGGAAAGGCCUCUGCUUGCAGGGGUACUCGAGUGGCGAACGGGUGAGUAACACGUGGGUGAUCUGCCCUGCACUUCGGGAUAAGCCUGGGAAACUGGGUCUAAUACCGUAUAGGACACUGGCUUGGAUGCCGUUGUGGAGAGUUUUUCGGUUUGCGCUGAUCUCUGGGCCUAUCAGCUUGUUGGUGGGGUAAUGGCCUACCAAGGCGUCGACGGGUAGCCGGCCUGUGAGGGGGGACGGCCACAUGGGGCCUGCGGUACGGACCAGAGUCCUACGGGGGGCAGCAGUGGGGAAUAUUGCACAAUGGGAGCAAGCCUGAUGAGGCGACGCCGCGUGGGGGAUGACGGCCUGCGGGUUGUAAACACCUUUCGCUAGGGACGAAGCGCAAGUGACGGUACCUGGAGAAGAAGCACCGGCUAACUACGUG